AGAAUCCCCAUGGACAGAGGAGCCUGGCAAACUACAGUCUAUAGGGUUGCAAAGACUCGGAUAAUGACUGAAGUGACUUAGCAUGCACGCAUAUAAGUAUAUAUUUACAUAUGGAUACAUGAGCCCAAAGGAACUUUGAAAGGUGAAGAAAGAUGUGUGUGAAGUGGUAGAACGAUGUCUGGGAAUGCUCAGUAAAUGUGAAUGAUGAUGGUGUCCACCCUGAUGUUGAAGAAUUAAAUACCUCUGACAUUAUGUUUGAACCUCUUCACACUGCUAAUCUUCCCCAGUGUUUGUUGAACUUUGAAUCUCUACUUUGUGCCAGUUGCUAGGUUAGAUGCUGCUAACUGGCUUCCCUGGUGGCUCAGCGGUGAAGAAUCUGCCUGCAGUGCAGGAGCCGCAGGAGCUGCGGGUUUGAUUCCUGAGUCAGGAAGAUCCCCUGGAGGAGGGCAUGGCAACCCCCUCCAGUAUUCUUGCCUGGAGAAUCCCAUGGUCAGAGGAGCCUGGUGGGCUACAGUCCAGAGGGCACAAAGAGUUGGACAUGAUUGAAGUGACCUAGCAUGCAUGCAACCUGCUACUGGUGAUCUUGCUCUUGUGAAGGAGACAGAUACCAAAUACAGCCUCUUACAGCCUUUGUGCUGGCUUUUUUAUAAUCCAGAUUUCAUGGAUUCUGGUGUGAAACCAUCUUCCAGAUCAUCACACUUUUUAAUUGUUUAUGAAUGUAAUUCAAGGACUAUUGGUUAUUUACCACUGAAGCUCCAUUCUGCACAGGUAGUGCCUGGUACAGAACAUGGACCUUGUAAAUAUUUGCUGAAUGAAGGAAUUAAGAGCUUUAGGAGACCAGAUUUCAGUGUUUAUUGAGUGUGGGCAUUUUGUCUCAUAUUUGUGGGCACUCGGGUGGAUCCUUUUGCAUAGCGUUGGUUUGAAUCUGAGUCUUUUCAGUCUCUGUUUUACCUUAAAAUAACUCUCAAUUCUUAUGGAAGUCACAGUUUCCCACAUGGCUUUGGGAAUUAACAACUGCUUCCCAAAGCCAUUUUGCAAAAGAAAGGAACUGUGGCUUCUGUUCUACAGACUGUGUACCUUCAACCCUCCUACUGGUAAUCAAGUUAGAAUUUCAGAGUAAGAUCUUCCAAAGACAGUAUUCCUCUAGGUAGCCAUGGUCUGGAGUGUAGAGUUAAGGGUGUAGGUGUAGGAGAGGGGCUGAAUAGAGAGAGAAAGAAGAGGAGCCCAUACUCUUGGGAACUUACAGGCAUUUCUUUAAAUGCCUCAGAAACCUGAACUGUAUAAUUUUAGAGCAACAGAUAACUUUUAGACUAGCCUGUGCUUUAUUUUCCAAAUUUUUUCACCCAUCCAUACCUCAUGUACUUGUUGAUAUACCAAUUAAUUCAAAUCCUCAAUGUAUUAAACACAUAUGCCA
Molecule: long non-coding RNA, 1414 nt
Organism: Bubalus bubalis (water buffalo)
Lineage: Eukaryota; Metazoa; Chordata; Mammalia; Artiodactyla; Bovidae
Exons: 2
Source: RefSeq, a predicted model, not a curated record